RNAcentral lists this microRNA precursor (69 nucleotides) under Bombyx mori (domestic silkworm). RNAcentral's name for it is "mir-2774 microRNA precursor family". It matches the Rfam family "mir-2774 microRNA precursor family". The record is from Rfam by way of RNAcentral. Lineage: Eukaryota; Metazoa; Arthropoda; Insecta; Lepidoptera; Bombycidae.
ACAACAUUCGGGCCAUCGGUCUACAGAGCAAUAUCACCCGCCUGGUGGAAGAUCUUUUCCCUUUGUCGU